AGCGCACAGGUAGCCAUAGGGGACCUUCUUGCCGCAGUAGUUGAGGAGGAGGGUGAGAUCGACGUCGACGUUGAGGCUGAUGCCCAAGAUGUUGGCCUUGAUGGCGGUGCAGAGGCACAAGGCGGCUUCGAAGUCGGCGAGGCCCUCGAUGAGGCUACAGCAGGGUUUCUUGGGCGGGGUGCCGAUCUGGAGGUUGAUGAGGCCGCCGAGCACGUUGGCGCAGGCGCCCAGCUUGACCGUGUCGAUGGGACAGGAUGGCAUGCCGGGUUUGGGAGUCGGUUUGGGUCUGGGCGAAGGCUUGGGCUUCAUCGGAGGUGGCGGGCAGUAGCUGGAGGAGACCAAGGUGAAGAAGAGGAGGCUGAGGCAGAGGAGUAGAGCGGUGGAGGAAGAAGCCAUCUCCUGUCGAGUAACUUGGACGAGGAACGGAAGGGGAAUACGUAGGAGUGUACUUUGGCUUGGGAGUGGAGCAAUGGGAAGUUAGGGUUUUAUAGAUAAGUACUGCGAUUUGCGGUACAGUGGCAAUGCAUGUGAGCAGGUGGGCCAGACAUGCAAGCUGGAGAUUGGAGAUAGGGUUCGGUGCUUCGUCAUGUAGCGCUUUGUGCCGCUUGCGCUCGUCAUGGUUCUGCACUGUGAUCUUUCCACCAUUAUUCACCGAUCCAAACCCCUCUCUCUCUCUCUCUCUCUCUCUCUCUCUCUCACGUACAGAGAGAGAUAGAGAUACUGUGGUGUAGCUUCAGUCCUUAAAGGUGAAAACUGAACACAAGACAGUAUCACAAUUUAAACAAUGAACACGAUUAAGCAAGCCAAUCACAACAACCACAUAUCGAACUUUCUUGGGUUUUACCCAAAUCAGUGUUAUGAACUUUGUUGGAGUUUCCCAGCAUUUGGCUCUCAGCGUGGAUUAGAUACUGAAUGAGAACCAUUCAAGAAUACUUGAGCCAUACCAUAAAAUGUUAAUUAGUUCAGAGAAAUUUGCUGGUAUGUAAAUUGAUUUCACAUUCUUGUUCGUCUCGACAUGAAUCAACCAUCACCUCUCCACCAUGACAAUAAUUUUAGGGAAGGAAAGGAUCGAUUGUGCCGACAUGAAGUAACCUGACACCAACCUCAGGUUCGCUAAAGGCCCACCUGGCCUUGCAUAGAUAGCAACCAGAGCAGUCCAACAACAGCCAUUUGACAGACACUGGAUCCUACUCUUCUGUCUUGAUCUGGUAUGUGCUCCUGCACCAAUUGGCUUGCUAUGAUCAAUACUUUGGAACAUGUAGAUACAGAUACAAAUCUCUGGACUCGGAUAGAGGCCAGUGGCUGACAGAUUUCCUUCCGAGUGACCUCAGAAAAAAAAAGAAGAAAAAAACAAUUAUGACAGCCUUGCAUCCACGUCCACACUAAACAAAACCAAGCAGUCAUAUCUGACAUUCAACAUCAUGACCUAAUUCCAAGCCCUAGAAGUUCACUCUAAGGUUCUUUACAGAGCAUAGUCUAAAUUUCUUAGUACAUUGCAAAAUAUUCCAAGAUCAUGGUUGACCAGAGAGAGAACAGCCACUGGGAGUAUCACUAGUUAUCUUCAUUAAAUGACUGCAAGUUUCGGAAUGUGUGCUAAAUUCAAAAUGUCCAAGCAAGAAUAGAAGAAGAAGAAUAGGUAUUAGAUGAAAACAAAAUACACUGACCCCUUGUACUAGUUAUCUUCUGAACACAAGUUUCAACUCCGCAAUCCAUGGGCCAACUUUAAUGUCUUGGGUUGUCUAGUUAACUGAAGACAGAGAAUGAAGAAUGAGUGACAGUUAAACUAAUAUGAGAUAUCAUAUCAAUUGCAUGGAUGGUGCUAAGUGGUAAAAUGCAAUGUAGUUUGCUCAUGUCUGCAGACAUCUAAAAGUUCCACAUGUGCAGAAGAGUAUUUAUCAGAUGAUGGCUGUUAAAAGACCACUGAACCACAGGAUCAUGUCUGGGAGAAAGACAAGGUUACAGAAGGGCAAAGUUUGAACGACAAAUGAUUCUAACACUCAAGGGGAAUACAAGAAAGACACGUUGAUUUGCGAUGAGAGUAUCAAGUUGCCCACCAACACAUGGCAACAGCUCACUUAUGGAGAUUCUGCUUAGCUGACUUGAGAAAAAAAAAUAUUAAGCAGUGUUGAACACAAGGCAAUCAUGAAUUGCAUGGGGACAAGGUUGAAUGAGAAAUUGAUAUCAGGUUCUUUAUUGAAGCCCAAUCAACCUAUGGGGAACAGGUUCAGUUCCCCUGUUCACACUCAUGCUGGUUUCAUCCACAGCAGAGGAACAGCUAAAUGAAAGCAGCUGUUUCAAAGAGCAAUUCCUUCUCAUGCCCAAUCACCAUGUAUAUUCCCAUUAGGCCAGUUCUUCAGUCACCAAGUAAUCUUUCUUUUUUCAACAUGAUUCAAAACAAAAGGUACUCAUCCAUUUUCCAAAAUCGAAGAUAACCAGCAACCACCAGAAUGCAUGUUUUAUUGUGGUCGUGAGACCCAAUAUGUGAAUGAUAGAACCAGCAGAAGGAAGCAUCGGCAGAUCAACCAUUUACCUCGAAGCUCUUGCAGGGAUUUGAGGAACAUCUUGUGGUUCCCACCAAGCUCGAUACAGAUUGCCAUACGGUUAGAUUUCUGAUGCCUGUAGAACCACAACAAGUAACAUUACCAAGAGAAUUCAAGAAAUAAAUGAAAAUUAGAGAAUCCACUUAGGAUGUCCAACCCAGUUAAGAAGCUCCACAUUUAUAAAUUAGUUUGAUUCUCAAGGCUGAAACAACAGCCUGUAAGUUCACAAUGCAUGACUUGCUUUUCACUAAACCAAGAAAUCAGUGAAGUAAAAGAAAAUAAUGCUCUCAGGAACCAACAUUCAUUCACCAAAUGCUUCCCAGUUGUAAUACAAAUCUUGGACUAAUCCAGUAGAUUUAAGUGAAAUGCACACACAAGAAUUUUGAAAAUAUAUUUCUUCCAAGUACACAAUAUAACUCAAUUUACAGCUAGCAAUUUGAGAAAUGUGAGUCUAGAAUAAGUUGCAAAGAAAAUGUCAUGUAUGUGGGGCACAAAACUUCAAUGACGAAGGAUUAUAGACUUUAAGACAAUGUCUACAGUUGUUUUUUGUUUCCACAGUUGACAACAUGAACUUGGAGUUCAAAUUCACCAUGCACUUUCCAUUUGUUUAUGACUAGGUAGAGUUUCUCUCUGUCAAGCUACUAAACUGCUCACAAGAAUGAAGUGAUCCAUUAUUGUGGUCAAAACUGAAUUCUGGUUAAAAUAGUCAUUGUAGUUUCUUGCACAUAAUGGAUCUAGGACAGGUAGGGCCAGCUCACAGAAGUGAAAGGUAGAUUUCACCAAACAAUUCCUGACCCCAGAAUCAGUACCAGUGACACUGAAGAUGCAGAGACAGAAUUGAAAAGACAAUGCUAUAAUGCUGCACUGAUUGAGAAGUGAAGGUUUCUAACAUCAAGAAGAGCUGAUAUGUCCCAAUCAAAUUCUAGCACAGAUAACAGGUCUAUGAAAUGCUCAGCCACUCAGGCAUGCUGAUGAACAAUAAUAGAAUUAUAUGAAGCAUGAACCAGUCUCAAGAAGCACUAAAUAUGCUACUAAUCCAACCUAAACUUGCUAUCCAUUAUUUACAACAGAGAAGCAGGCCGUGUGUUUAUCUUUAUAUCCACAUCCUUCAGAGAACAUGAGCUCACAGCAAAUUUGAGACCUCGCAAUUCAUUAAUUACAACAGAGAAGCAGGCCCAUGUGUUAAUCUUUUUCCCCACGCUUCAGAAAGCUUGCCCUCUUGGAAAAUUUAACACCCUGCAUGCCAGCUGGAGGUACAUCUUCAGUCUGCCAACCAAUAAGAUGUAGGAUUUGUAGACAACUACCACUAUAACGAGACAGAUACUGACCAUUUAAGAUUGGAUACAUGGUCCUUUUCCUGCCAUUAAGUAGUAUUCAGAGCAAUAAUGGUAGAAACAACAUCGAAUCUGAUGCAGGCAUUAUUUUGUCUUUUUUUUUCUUCAGGAUAAUUUUAUUAAUUCAUUCAUUUUUUGCAGAUAAAAAAGUCUAACAAGACAUUUCUUGAUGAAAAUUUAGUAAGUUUUUACACUACAUUUUAUUCAUGGGAAGGAGAGUAAGCCGAGUUAAAAACUAAAAGAAUAGACUGGAAAAAUAUGCUUAACUGAAAUUUGUAUCCAUAGUACCAAUAAGAAAUCAUUACUAAAAGUAAGAAUGUAACAUGAAGAUAAAAGGGUGAUUUCCCUAAAAAAUACCCACAUUUUGGGUAUUUUCCAAUUGGUAUCACCAUUUUAUUUUUUUCUCAAAUAGUACUCUUAAUUUGAAAAAUAUUCAAACCGCCCUUCAAAAACACUGUAAAAGGACGAUUUACAGUGUUGUUGGCAUGUUACAGUGUUUUGGUCACCAUAACAAAAACGUUGUAAAGCUUACUUAAAAACAUAGUAAAUAAACCAAAUGGAAUCAAAACACACCAAAUAUUAUUUGAUAUAUCAUACUAUGAUUCAAAUAGGUAUUUAAAAUAGCUUAGGAACAAUAUCACCCAAAUAGAAAUAAAAAAUUACCUUUACAGUGUUUUGCCCACCACAAUAAAACAUUAUAAGACCUACUCGAAGACACUAUAAACGAUCUAAAUGGAAUCUAACCCCAACCAAACCAACUAGAAGCCUAAAAAUAUAGAAUCAUAAGGUCUAUGAGCAAUGACAACUAAAUAGGUACAAUAUGAUGUCAAUUAUGAUAUUUUUCAUUAGUGUUUUCAGUAUCUCAAUAAAAUACUAUAAACAUUGUAAAUGAUCCAGAUGAAAACAUUGUAAUAGUUUUAAAAUGAUAAAAAUGGGCAAAAAUUUUUUGAGGGAUAUUUUGUGUAAUUUUUAAAUUAGAGAUAUUGUUUGAGAAAAUGUAAAAGAGGGGUACCCUUUUGGAAACACCCAAAAUAUGAGUAUUUUCUAUGGAAAUCGUCCAAGAUAAAAAUUGUUUGCCCUGAGAUCCCAGUGUGGUUUUGUCAUAUAACAAUCCAGUACCUGAGCUUCAGCUUUAACGAAUAAUUUCCAUCGUCUCAAAGGCUUCAACACAUUUAUAAGGGUACCAAAAUACAUUCAUUAUCAACUGGUGGACACUUUGAUGGAGUCAUCGUUUUGUCCUACUUUUAACUUCAAAAUAAUUUUAUUAAUAUGGGCUUUUUGCAAUUGUCAUAAUGUUAUCACAACAAUUUCUUUGCAAAUAUGAACUCUGCCCAUGUUUUUGCCUAAGCAAAAGAAAAAAAUGAACUAAAUAAUUGAUGAUGAUUUAAAAGAUAUGUUUAAUUAAAGAUAUAUUCAUGGAAAAAAUUAAUACCUAUAAUAGACACCUCCCAAAGCAUCAUUGAAAUUAUGAAAGAUUCUCUGGAUAUGAAAGAUGAGAUGAUCGAAUUCUUACUCUUCGACUAAAAGAAUUAGAAUUUCUUUUUUAUUUGUCGUUGAGGUUAGGGUUUUUAUAAGGGGGAAUGUUGUGAUUGACUAAAUGGUAGAAUGAAUUCAAUUUAUAUUCUCAAAUUAUGUGGGAGUGGCACGAGGAAUCAGGUAGAAAGGUUGUAUGUAAAUGUGACCCCUACAAUCCAAAACUAUAGUAAUUGAUUAUUGUGCACAAGAAUGCUAUGCUGUUCAUCCUGACUAGCAACAAUUAUAUGUGAGACAGGAGAUAUAUAGUUAGCAACUGCGUGAAACAGAAACAAAUCCUUCCCCAGAGAACAUCAACGCAUCAUGAGUCCAUAUCAGAACGGAGUUUAUGCCAAUACCAAUUGUGAGAUGAAUCAAUUGUGACGCUUGAGAUGAUAUAACCGAAGAAAAGAAGACUCGGAAACCGAAUGUAGAUCAAUGGAUGCGCAAUCUUCACCAUCUCUCAAAUCAUAGUAGCGUACAUUUCAGCAUGUACAUAAUUUUAACAUGCAAAGAACGGGAGACGACUCACGAAAGGUAUCUUGGAGGCUUUGUCGUUCAAGACGGCGUGCAAACCGAGCGACGCGAAGAAGCCCAGCCCUUCGCAUAGCCACGCUAACGCCUCGUGCUGAUAGAAAAGAAUCCACAAAAGAGGAACACAUACGGAUUCAUUCUCACAAUACAUCAUUGGAACAACAGAAAGAAGGAAAAACCCCUAAUCUUUUGGAGGAUGGAAGUUACCUUCCCGAUAAUGGUAGGAGCCCGAUAAGGCGAUAGGUCCAGUUCUCGGCCGAACCCGAUCGUUGUAAACGGGCAGCUUACAAGAUGGACCAAAAACGACAUGGAUCAGAAACUUGAGUGGGAGAAGAGCUUACGGGCUUGCCGGAGACGAUGUGCUUGCCGAGGGAGCGGCCCAUACCAGAGCCCGAGAGGAUGGCGGGGGCGGCGCAACGGGCCGAGCCGCAUCGUGCGUCUGCUUCGUCUGCCGUGGGACGUUGUUCCGCUCGCAGAUGCAUGCGACCGGAGGUCAUCCCUUCGACCUUUUAGUCGAAUCCAAAAUCAACUGGAUCCUCGGGGACUGCGGUAGCAAGGGCCAUAUCGGGUCGUCUCCACCUGCGAACGUGAAUCCAAUAAAAUAUUGUGGAUCCGGAUCCGAGAACGGCUACAGCGUGUCUGUGACCAUGUUUCCGAGUCCACUGACACACGAACUCAAAGGACCAUGGGCUGACAGCCCAUACUAACAAGAGACGGCUAUGACGGAAUCUCAAAAGCAUGCAAAUCAUAGAAUAAAUGUCCGGCAGAUACACAUUGAGAAUAAUAGGUCAUUAGGGCAGAUGCAAGAAUCUUCAUAAUAUUAUACUGAAUACCAGCAACAACUCAAAAUUUAGAGCAAGGAUGCCUUCUGAGAUGCAUUGUUUAACUGAUUGAAAUUUUAAUGACAACCUCUAUAACCAACAGAAAUCGGACAUGAUGCAUUAGAUCCUGCACCAACUCUAAAGGUCAAUACAGAAACUGAAAAUCUUUACUUAGAUAGCAUAAGAAUAAAUGAAAUAUAAAAAACAAGAUUUACUUGAGGUAAUGCCUGGAGUAAACAUGAUGGUUGGUAAGACCAGAAUAACUGUCAUUGAGAAAAAAAAAAAAAAGUUACCUUGCUGUAUUAGGAGCCAUAUUCUCAAGACCAUUCAUUCUAGAAAAUAGAUUAGACACUCCAUUCACAUCUUUAGGCAAAUCAUAGCCAAUCUUAAACAUGCUGGGAAAUCAGCUACUAGAAAAACAAUGAGAUCAAUGGCUUGAUCACUCAUUUUUUCUGAAUGCAAGUUGAGAUAGGAAACCAUCACUGAGGUAUAGCGAGGAAUUGACAUGCACUGACGACCCACGUGAAUUCUGAAUGCCAGCAACUUUGUGAAGGACAUAAAGAAGGCAGUUGUGGAAGUUUAUCCAUGAAUGAUAAAGGCAUCAAUGAGGUUUUGAGAGGAUAAACACACGGUGAUGACCGAUGCGAGCUUCAAGAAUACGGCCGAGAUGGCGAAGGACCUGUAAGUCACAGUUACGGGAAUUAGCCCAUUUGGUAACACUCUCUGGCAAUCAUGCAUCAGUAACACCUAAUUUUGCUCCAAACAUAUUUUGCCAACAAAAGUUCCAAUAUUUGGAAUAUUGAUCUUAGCAUAUCCUCUUGCUGCUAAUAUAUAUGAAAAACUUGGUACCAAGUCCUAAUAACUGUAACAGGCCAACAUGCACCAGCAAUUUCAUGCACAAAAUUUAUAAAAAAAAAGACUUAAGGCUCCCGUCAAUACAAGAUCUAAAAAGAGUCAAUAUAUAUAACCUUAUCUUUUAAUAUUUAAAGAGAUUGUUUUCAUGAAUUAGAUCCUAAUCUUGACAGGUUGCAAAGGAGCAACCUCAUCAUUAUUCCAAGAUCCGCCCUCAAAUUUCAUGUGCAAAAGUAAACCGAUAAAAUAAAAAAAGAGGAGAAUCCUGAAAUAAGAUACACAGACAAUGAUUUCACAACUAGAUACGUUGGACUAAGUAGUUUAAAUUUAUAAGCAAUAUCAGCGAGGCAGAAAAUUAAUAGAUAAUGUAAAAACAUCAGGACGACAACUCAACCAAGUCAUAGUCGCAUUACAGCUGGUAGUACAAGUAUGACAGAAAUUAGCACCUGUUGCUGUGUUCUAAGGCCCAAACAGUUUCAUGAUUGUUAUGGGAUACCAUGUGAACACGAUAUAUAGAUGAAAAGAGGUAGCCAUCACACUUUAUACCAACACAUGCAGGUUGACAUACUCAUAGCCAGCAGGAUAUAUGUAUCAUACAUCACAUAAUGCAAAUUACGGAGUUCAACUGUGCACCUGGGAACAUGACAGCAAGCACAUAAUUCCAACGAGAGAAUUAGAAGUAUGAUGAGAAAAUAAAGGAAUGUAUAAGUAAAUAUGCAAAGUUAAUUGUAUUCUCAUCUAUAGAACCCACAGACAAGAGACAUAUUGUCAGACCUAAUCCAACCAUCUAGAGUCCACAAUACUGAUCCCCAAUGAUAAACUUGGGAAGCACAAUUAGAGAUUUCAUUAUGACUAGAUAACUUACUGUCAAAAUUGCUUUUCCCGUAUUGUCAAGUUUCAGUCCUGGUCCUUUUAUGUCUGUUUCCAGGAAAAAGUGCUUGCCUUUCACUGCUUCAGUUGUUGCUAUGUCUCUUAGUUCCUGCAUUUUAACAACAACAGUAGCAAACUUGUGUAACAUUGAACAGACAUACAAAUUCAGCACAAAAUGUGAUACACGCGUUCUUCCCACAUGGGUUACAGUUUACACAUUGCCACACAGGAAAAAUGUAUAAUAGCCAGCUGAAUCUACUUACAAGAGCUUUUUCCCAGGUGUCUUCAGCUAGCUACAUGAAAACAAGAAGACACGAUAAACAAAUGGCCAAUAGGAAGACGCCAAGCUUAUUUAUUAUACUGAGCAACACAAACCUUCUUCUUUGGGCAUGAGACGAGAUGAGAAUUUGCUUCUGCAUACAUAGCUAUCUCAUUGAUAGCAAUAUUGACCUUGUCCAAAGUAAGCCUUCCCCUCAUAUAACUGCAAUUGUUAAGAUGGAAAAAUUGAAUUUGGUUUCAAAUGAUACGUGAUUUGCUUAUCAAGCACAUACAAUAUCUUUCAAUAUCCAUAUGAGAUUAUAAAUAUUUAUUACUAGGGACCCUGGUAUGUCAUUCAACUUCUUUUCAGAACAUCUGAAAUCAGGAAAGAGUAUGGAUUAUGUAACCUAUUUUACCUGACUUAAAUAAUUUCAACUUGUGUUUUGGUUCCUAUCUUUCUGCCUAGUUAAUUUCAAUGACAGAUCAUUUUUCCACAUCAACAUACCAUAAAUACCAGCCUUUUCCAAUUGUCCUCAGAACACCAGAGGUCUUUCGCAAAACCAAUGAACUCCAACUCCAUGUAUUUUUAGAUUUAUUAUCUUGGAACUCAGUUCUUUAAUUUUCAUUACCGGAUUAACUAAGAGACACAAAAAACAGAUAAUCUACAACAUUAAAAUUGACAAGAGAUAGAAACAAUGAGAACCAAGAAGAAAUAUACCAACAUGGUGCAGAAGAAAUAUACAAAGUAAAUUUGAGGAUAGACUUACGAAGACAGUGAAUCCAAUUCCUCGGCAGAAAUAUACCACCGCGGUGCAGGAGAUGGACCCUUCUUCCCCUACAUGGGAACAAUGCAUCUGUUAAUUGGAGAACAAACAUAACUAUUUCUUGGAAACAGUUGCACAAAGUUAUUUGAUCUUGGCGCAAUCGUGAUGUUAGACUAGAAUCUUGUGAAUUACGGAAGUAGCACUGUUUAUGGUCAAUACAAAAGAGAAAAGGCCUCAAAUAAAGCAUUCUUUUAUAAUGUCAACUCGAGGCUUGCUGAUUUCAGCCGCUUACUGGUGAUAAACACUGUAAUCAUGAUGCAAACAUUAAGAAUAAGCUUUACGACGAACAGAUGAGGGGCAGUCUCUUACCUUGAGCAUAGCAACAGGCUCCUCCUUGAGAUGACAAGGCUCGUGCAAUAUAUCGGGACCCGAAUCAUCAGGCACCAAGCUGAAACCAACAAACCCAAUUCCUUUGAAGAAUCUUCGUUGCAAAACUAUAUUUGAAGAAGAAAAAGAAAGGUUAAAUGAACAAUAAAUAAAUUGGUCGCCAGAAGAACUACCUCGAAGAGGGGUUUUGAACCGAUCGGCUUUGGUUCUUAAGCAUCGAAGGCGGCAUAUGGGCGAGCAUGUGCUGCAGCUUUCUUUGCUGCCGCUGGGACAGAUCGAUGAGUUUCUACACCCGAACAAAAGUAGGAAAGAAAGAGGUGAAGAAACCGACACGAUUCGCUGGAGAUUCGAUGGAAUUCAAGAAGAAAAGAGACCUUGGCCUUAGGGAUAGCGUUUCUCUCCUCUUGUAGUCGGUCCUUGAUCGCCUGGAUCUGCGACUCCAUCGUCUUCAGGGUCACGUCGACCGCCGACAGAUCGGGCAUGCUGGUGGAGGGAUACACUGCCCAACAGAGUAAGAAAGAAUUUAAGCGAUUCGGCGGUGGAUUUCUUCAAAGGAAGAAAAGGGAAACGGGAAGAGAGAAGAGAAAGUGGGGGAUGGCGAACUGUUGCGGGCGAUGACGAGCUCCUGCAGUUCGACGAUGCGGGUGUGGAAGGAGGAGACGAGGGCGUCGAGGGAGGAUCCCGCUUGCAUCAGAUCCAUCGCCGCUACCGGUCUUCCGAGUCCCCACUUCUUUCUCUCACUCAGUCCUCACUCUCUCGCCGUUCCCAAACCAAACCUUUUGAAUGCGUUGCUGCCGCUUACUGGUUGGGAGGGAAACUUCUAAUUGUUUGCUGAUCUAUCCGUCUUAAAUAAGAAAUUUCUUAAAUGCGCCCCUAAAACGUAACUUUCUUGCAAAAAAUCCCUUCUAUUCCGUAAUACCAGGUCAAAAGACUGGUUUACCCUUUUUAUUAGGGGAUGUGUCAAACAGGUAAUUUCCUAAGAUCAUUAAUCUUUUUCUUGUGUUUGAAAGGUUAUUUUCGCAAAAGCAACAAAUCAGGAGCACGAUUUUAGAAAUUAUUAUGGGCAUUUUGUUAACUCGUGUAUAUGUUCCAAAAGAUGUAUACCUUCGUCGUGACAUAUUUCUCUUCACGUGGGUCGGGUUCUCCGAAUCACUCAUCUCAGGCACAUUUGGUCUUGCGCCUUUGUCGUGACAAAUUUCUGGAUCAAGUUUUCCCAACUCACAUGCUUUAAGUACAUUUGGCCUUGUACCUCCAUCGUGACGGAUUUCUUUUCAUGCGAGUCGGGUUUUCUCGACUCAAGGGUCUCAGGCACAUUUAACCUUAUGUAUCUGUUGUGGUGGAUUUCUCUUCACAUCAGUCAGGUUUUCUUGAUUCACACACCUCAUGCACGUUUGGCUAUGCACCUCCACCAUGAUGGAUUUCUCUUCACACGGGUCGGGUUUUCUCGACUCAGCGCCUCAAGCACAUUUGAUCUUACGCUUCCAUCGUGAUAGAUUUCUCUUAUGCGGGUCAGGUAUUCCUCACUCAUGUGCUAUGGGCAUAUUUGGCCUUGUGACUCCGUCGUGAUGGAUUUCUCUCUAUAUGGGUUAGUACUACUAUCAAAAGCCUCCAAUGAUGAGAGGUGAAAGUUAGCCAGGAUCAGCUCCUCUUGAAUGUCUUUGGUGAAUGCGAUCAAACCGAUAUGGGGUUGGUCGACCUUUCGCUUUUGGAUUGUUAGAAUUCUUGUCGUAUCUCUUAUAAGUGUUAGUCUAUUCAUCAUAGUUGAAUCCUUAGGGAAUCAUUCAUCGAAUUUGCCAACUUGAUCAGGGAUUUAAGUGGAGCAGAGUGGUGGUGUGGUGGUCCAUUGAAGUCUACGAUUGGGGAGUAGAGUGCUCCCUCGGCCGACGGUUCGAUGGGCCUCAAGCACUCUUGAGAUGUUGUAUUACGUCGAGUUGCGGGACCUCGAUGGGUGUUGAUGCUGGUGAUGGUUAACCUACUGACCACAGUUGAGAUGAUGGCAUUACUUGUUGGGCUAGCUUGGGAAAGAGUGAAGCAACAGCUUGCAUCAUGCCCAUUAGUAUCUACACCUGCUGGGUGAGCUUUAAGAACAUCUCAACGAGGAUGAGUAGAUGACUCGGGGUCGCUCUUGGGCCGUAGAAAGGAUACUAGUAUUGCAUUGGCGUUUGUGUCAAGGUAGAUACAUCCACGUAUGGAAAGGUUAGCUACUGCCCCCGAGUGAAAAUAUUGUGGGUCAGGGGGCAAGGCCUCCUUGCUUAGGAGUUCAUUAAGAGGAUUGGUAGGCAGAUAUUCAUGUGACAACGGACCCUUCUUUUAGCACCAAAAUGUUAGAAAAAAAAAAUAUUAAUAUCCUAACUAGUCUGACGUAGUCCGGACCCAUAUGUGCAGGAUUGCCCGAGGUGCCUCCAAGCAAGAUACUAAGCUCCCGAGAUGCCACCCACAUAAAGACCGAUGUUGAGAGAAGUUUCUUGACCCGAUUAAUCCGACAUCCAAAUUAAUAACCCCAAGUCUAAGAGUCUGGAUGCAAGUAGCAAAAAAAAGAUCACUCUCCUCUUUAUGCUAAGGAUAUAUUUUUUUAUCUGAUCAUAGGGGAUAAAAUAUUUCAUAAAAUAUUCCGGAUAGGGGGAGAAUAAUCUGUGAAAUAUUUUUUGGACUCUUGUCCAAAGUGGGUUGAUGAAUGGAAAGCCAUAUCUCAUAUCACCAGCUUCUCAUCCCUCAACCUUCUUUUCAAGAUACCGACUAAUAUAAUCAGUAAAAACUUUGACAAAUGAUUAUAAAAUUUUAGAUUCCAAUAAUACCCGGUAAAUCCAUUUAUCAUGUGAGGAGAAAACAAAAUAUUUACCAGCCAUCAACUUUCUACUCAAAUCAUUUGUAAUUGAGUUUAGCAUUUCACCUUGCAUCAAUAUCUUAAUACCAAAUAUUUCAAGAAGUUCUUGAGGCGGAAUUCUACUUAAAAUCUCUCUCUCUCUCUCUCUUGCUAACGCAACCUCACGCGACACAUAGACAUUACCCAUCUCGAUCCUUCUUAAUAAUACAUAUGAAUUAACUAACACCUCAAAUCUUCGCAUGUGAAAUCGAAUGAGUGCAAGAAGUAGGUACAGGUCUAUAUCCCUGAAAUAAAUGCAUGAAGUAGGUGCAGGUAUUCAUUAACCAUGUGCCUUUGCACCCUCGAAGAAGACGUGGUGGAAGAAACAUGCCAAUGGUGACCCGUGCAAAGAUCCCUCUUGUUGUUUUCGAAGCAGCCCAGCAUGGAAACUCUCUGCCUUCACAUUCCAUCACCAUCUAUCAUCCUCAACUAUUCAUCUUACAGAUAGAAGAUGCACAACUCCCAUCUAUCAUUCAACAAUAUAUUGUACAACCAUACGAGUUACAGUCCGUCGCAGCAAAUAAAAUGCACGGAUACCUGUAUAUGUACAACCAUAAGAAGGGGUCUCCGGUCGCGUAAACAGAGCAAAAGCUACUCGACAAAGAUAAAGAUGAGGUAUCGAAGUGGUUUAUCAGUUGUGAGAGGGGGGAUUGGUCGUCGGUCCAACGUAAUCCGCAUCAAACCCUGGAUGCUCCUUUGCUCCACCUCGAGGCACAGGCCAUGUAACCUUAACGAGCGUGGAGGCUUGAAGGGCACCUGAGACGCCUUCGUUCUUCCCCUUGACGUCCUCUGUGCGUUCAACAGUCGAGAAGCCUUGUUUCUUCUCGAGUGCAACACCUUCCGAUGACGUCGAUUCUGCGGGAUUUCCAUGGACUGAAUUCUCAUCCGGAAUCACCUUCGCAGAAACCUAAACAAGAGACACGCUAAGGUUACAGUCAUCCUACGUAUGUAAUCAACAAACAUGAUCGAUGAUCACCAACCUUGCUGGAUUCAUUGUAACGACUGCUUGGAUCUUUGGCAUGCAUCCUUAGAUGCCGGGCAUUGCAUGCGUCGACGGAAAGAGCUAACAGGAGGGUGAAGAGAAGAGCAACAGAAGGCAUGUCUGUUGUGCUAUGGGUUGAGUUGAUGAUGCGUACGAGUAUUUGUAAACCAUGGCAUUAACUGCGGUCCUGCAUGGCAUCGAGGUGAAGUGGUGGUAGUGUCGCCUCUAAGAAGACACGGAGGACUGCAGGUAUCGAGAGAGAACUUCGCGACGGAGAUAUGGAGGACUGCAUUGCUUUGUCUUGUCCGUCGGCUUCUCUAAUUCCUCCUCUCGAUCUGUGUCUAACGAGUUCUUCGAGCGAAGUUAUUGUUGUACGGGUUUGCGGAGAAGCGCGGGGCCCCACCGAUCACCGACCAUGCCUGCUCGUGGGACCCGACGGCCCCUUCUCAGGUUGGGCGACGGAGCGUGGCGGCAACGAGGUGAGGAGAGGAAGCGGGGCCGUCGAAAAUGACGGCGCGAGGUCGACCGCUAACGGUCACCGGAAUCUGGCGCGCGUGGUCGGUGAAUCCGUGUGGGUCCGACGGGAUCGAUGGGAGAAUGGCCCAAAAUAAUUAACCAAAAUUAAGGAUAGUAAAUUCAUCUAAUCCUUAUAGUUUAUUCAAGUCUUCCUGCGAUUAAAACGGAAACGAAAUCUCAAACUCCUAAAAGCCAGUCACUACUAAUCUUCUUCAGCACGGUCGGCUUCGACGAUGGCGGCCUCAGCCUCGGCAUCCUGCACCUCCUUCUCCGUCUUCUUCCCUUUCUUGGACUUGUAGUACACGUUCAUGAAAGUGCCAAUGGCGCCGUACUUGCGACGGCAGUGCUCGUAGUGGGACGCGUCGAACAUCCUCCAGAAGUUCUUCUCGGUGAGCUCCGAGACGGAGUACUGCGCCUGGAAACCGUGGUUCUGAAUCAUCCACUCCUCGAGCUUGCGGACAACUUCGGCGCCGUCGAACUCCUCCCCCCUGAACACGGGACCUGGAGCAUAGUACAAACCGACGUCGGUGAACAUUUGGGCGAAGCUCGUGUCUCCCUGCCGGUGAUGGUCCUCGAAGCCUGUUUCUGGAUGCACCAUCGUCUUCAGAGGAAGCUUGAACAGCCGAUGGGGGCAGAGCCAUACUGGAUAUAGCUGCAAGACGAUUCAGGUUACUUAGUACUAGCUUAAAGAUUCACAGUCUCAAAGACAGAUCCAAGAAGGUACCUCCGUUUCACAAUGGCAAAACUCGAGAGCAUCUGCAACUUUGUACAGAGGAAUCAGGAGAUCCUGGAUCACAUGCAUGUCAUGGUAAUAGUUCCUGAUAGCUUCACCUUGGGUGGCCUUGAGCAAGGAGACCUUUGGCGGCAUCAACCAGCCCAAGAACCAUCUGAACCACCACUGGUCUGCGCAUGGCAGGAUCAGCUUCCCUUCCCAGUACAGAGAUCUGGUAUGCCUAUGGUAAUACUCUCGGGUGGGUAUGUACUCCACGAACUCUCCCCUCUGCAGCGCUGUCUGUGCAUGCUGGUAAAACCAGGGCUUGAACCACCACCCUAUGCUGUUGAUGACAUUGCCCUUCUUCUUGGCUUCUGCCUCGGAAGCAUACUUCCCGGUCAUGCAGACAGCCUCGGUGGGGUUAUAGAUCAUCGUCUCAACGAAGUCCGGAACCCUUGAUGAAUCCCCAUCUCUGGGAGCAAACGAGUCUGCAUAAGCCUGCGCGAGUUCCUUCAAGGUUCCCCGGUGCGGGGUGUAGAUAACCUUCAUGUAUUCCCUAACAGGUAUGAGUUUGAUCUCUGCAGAAACCAUGAGACCCAGAGUUCCUUGAGACCAGGGGAUCCCGUAGAAAAGAUCGGAAUGCUCGUUGUCCUUGGUACACCUCACAAGUCGGCCGUCGGCAAGCACAACCUCCAUGGCGACGACCGUGUCAGAAAAGAGCCCAUACAAGUGUGAGCUCCCCUCGAUUCCAUAACCAUUGAUAAGGCCACCCACAGUGAGAUCGUCAAGCUCUGCAACGACCGCAAGCGAGAGGUUCAUGGGAAUCGUAGCUCGGGUGAUCUGACCCAUAUUAACAAGCGGCUCCACCUUAGAGAUCAUCCGCUCCUUGUCGAUCUCAAGAAUGUUCCUGAACGCAGAGAGAUCGACCUCGAAAUGUCUUGCGCGCUUGUAAUCGACAUUACGCAUGCCAACCGCGAUGUAUGGUUUCCUGGCCGUGCACACGAGGCCAUCCUUCGUUGGAUCUCUCUGCUUGAGGCGCUUGAUAACUUUGAGAACGUUCUCCUCAUGUUCUUUCCGGCGACGCUCGUCGGACUUCAUGGCAGAUCUCACAUGGCCAAGAAACAGUCUGAAGUAGAUGAAGCAAGAGACGGGAAGCACCACAAAGACGACAACGAUCCAUCGGAACCGGACCAGAUAGUCCACCAAAACUUUCUUUCUUUUGGGACGCAGAGGAGCUUCCACACCAGACAUGAUUCGUACCUGAGUUUCGAUUUCUAUCACAUAUGAGAUGGUAGAAGGAUGAUGUUUGUAAUUGACACCACGGACGAAGUAUGCUCUGUUGGGCUGACAACCCAUGUGGGCUUUAUCAGCCCACAGCUCACAACCCCUCUUAAUUUAAUCCUAGAUCAAUAUAAGGAGGGUAUGGUAGCUGCGUUUUUGGCAAAGAGGUAACUACGUUUUUUGGCAAGAAAAGAGCAGUAACAUGGUGAUCUUCGUAGCAGCAAAGAGAAAAAGAAGGAAAGAAAACAAAGACAACGGAGAGAGAUUGUUCUCAAUCAUCUAGCAGUGUUCUCAUCUCAAGUUAGAUCAAAUCUAUAGUAGACUCUUGCUGUGAUUACUUAGGGAGGUUUUAGAUAUCGUGGACAGUGACGUGAUCCUUGUAUCCCAGUUGUUCUCUUGUGAUUGUUGCUAGGGUUUAAGGUAAGAGAUUGAGAUUUAUAUAUUCAUUAUUCUUAUAGUGGAUUAUCUCUAGUUUACCCUAUGGUUUUUACUUUUCACAUUAGAGGGAUUUUCCAUGUAUAUCUUGAUGUUCUAUUUGAUUGUGAUUUUAUUUAAUUCCGCUGCAUAUCAUGGUUUGCUAGUAUUUGUUUAUAUACAAAGGAGGCAAUAGAUACUAAACUUAAAAAAGUUAAGAAGAAGAAGAUGGGGGAUAAAAGGAAACAGAGACUUCUAUCCAAAUUCCAUAAAACAAAUCAAAGCAUGAUGUGAAUGUGCAAAAGGGAGUAAACAGCAAGCACGCACAUAUCAAGAAAGCUUCUUGCCAAAUCAAAGAUGGUCAAGCUAAUUUCCAACAACAUCAGUGAAACAGAAUGUAAACUUUGACCGGAAGGCAUGAAGGCAAGAACACCACCAGCCACGAAACAGAGCUUAGAUUUCGACCGUAAAGCAGAACACUGCGAAUCACCAAAGAAAGAAACUUUGCUACUGGUACGAUACCUUCGAAUUGGGGGAGUGAGGGGCAGCAGACCUGAUCAAGGAGGGAGGAAGGCGACCACCGUGGCUUGUGCUCCCAACGAGGUUUGAUAACCAGCAAAGCUGCCCACAGUCGCAGGCUUUUAAGAUUCAAUGUAUGAUUUAAAGCGCAGUGGAUCUUCUUUCGAUCGAACAUUAUGGUAGAGUGGCAUUUGCAUUCAAAUGUACCCAAAAAAGAGAGCUUUAAUGUGAAAUUAUGAUGCUGAGAGACAUCUUUAUGUGAAUUUACUUUCAAUGAUCAUCCAAGAAGAUUUUUGGAUCUGCUUUCCUAACCUAUCAACUGUGUAAUAGUACACUAACCGAGGGGUGAUGUAUCGCGAAUCAAUGGUUGCAGUUGAUUGAACUGAUCACUUAGAUGUGAAACCACAGCUGAUCAACAACAUCAUUUGGAUGUGGUUGAGCCAUCACAAGAAAGAGUCACAAAGCAGAACACAAUCUUUGCAUCCAAACCUUUGCUGAGCAGGUCAUUCAUUAAUACUGCACAAUACAAUCACACAAAGACACCUGUGGAAGAAGUGAAACCCAUAUCCACACAAAUGGACGUUAUAAAUACUGUUCUCCGAAGACAUUUAUGGUGUUAAUUAAGUUUCCUAUAUCAGCAUUCUUCUGAUGCUGGACUUCAGUAAUCUUAGGAAUACGAGUUAGUAGAUGGUUCCGACAAGCCUUUGGUAUGGAAACACUCUUAUCGAUGUAAAUGCAUGUGUGCUGAUUGCAACUCCGUGGUGAGGGCAAAGGAUGAGUUCGUCUUCUUCCUUUACCGCCUGAAUCAUAUGCGCUCUGAGGCUGACUUCAUGCAUCUGUCAGAAAAGUGGCUUACCAUCAGCAUCAGCUCAACUCAGAUCAAAACAAUGUCAGCAACAAGCAGUGACCAACCUCCAGUGAAGUGACACUUGUACACAUCUCCAUCAGUUCCUCCAACCCUUGUAUUUCCAGUCGUAUUGUUUCCACCAACUCGUACAGCAUCGUGUCGAUGUCUCCGACCUGAUUCGCCGAGACAGAGGAAGGAAGGUUAGAGGAAGAGAUGAGCCGUAGAACCUCCCAUGGUUGACAACAUAAACCGCACCUUUGCGUAAAAUACGCCGGCGGUGGCGGCAAUGUCUGUCAUGGCCUCCAUCGAUGAGCUCAAGCAGCGACGAAGUGAUACCGAGUUGGCCUGCACGGGGAAUGCAGAUGACUCGUGUUCCACAGACUCAGGAAACUGAGAGAGCAGAGCUUCUCUUACCUCGGCGCCUUCUACCAGAGGAAGCGAGAAGGCAGCAGCGCCCAAGAGCCUCACGAGCGUGGCCACAGCGUCGACGUGCUUCUUGGCGUGCGGUUCCCACUGGCUCAGGAGACGGAGUUGGGGACGAAGGAUCUGAGGCAGCUUCAUCUUCUGCUUCCGUCGUUGAACCAAGAUCCGCUUGGCCGCCACCAGAUUCCUUAGCUCGUAGAUUCUUAGCCACGCGUAGAACAGCUUCUCCUGCAGAUUUAGCCGCAAAACUAUAAGCGGAGGCUUUGCAGCAAAUUUAGUGUGGAGUUGUCGCAGAUUAAGUUAUGUAGUAGGACCCAUCUGAAAUUACAGAGGAUCAAGCAUCUCCGUGGUCGCGUAAGGAGUCUCUUGUUCGGGAACAAACAGCAGAACCCUGAAAAUUUCAAAAAGGGCCAAAGAAGGAAAAUAAGGAGAAAAAGGCUCGCCCUCUCUCACCUCGGCGUUGCACCGGGCGGCCUCGACGGCCGCCACCGCACGAGCGUUGGCGAACCUCCACUGGAUCAGUCUCGACGUCAGAAGCCGCAGCUGGUGCGACUCUUCCUCCCCCGGUGCAGCCUCCUUCCUUCUCCGGAAUAAUCCCAACACCCCGCCUCCGCCGCCUUUCUUCCCGCCGGCAGUGACCACGGUCGCUGCGCGAGACGGGUCCGGCGACGGCUUCGAUUGGCUGGGCGAUCGUGCCCACGCCGAGAACCCGGUCUUAGUCUUUCUUGCGUCGCGCUGGGCAGGGGCGGAGGUGGACCGCGGGGGCGAACGGCCGGGGGAGAGGGCCCAGGCGGAGGGAGCUGUUCUCGGCUUCCUCAAGCUGGCGGGAGGGUCCGGCGGAGGGAGUCCACAGGAGAUGCUCUUGCGGUUCUCCUUGGAGAGGCAGCACGAAGUCGCGGAAGGGUCGGUGACUUGGGGGCGGUGUUUGGCGGCGGAGUGGGAGCGGGUGAGCGCGGCCGGCGCGGAGUUGGAAAAUGAGGAGAACAAGGGAACGGACUGCCGGGAUGGAGAGGCAGGGCGGCGGGUGAGGCCGCAGGCGCCGCUUCGGCUGCGGAGGAGGAGAGGGCUCCGCGGGGAGGGCGGGCGGGCGUUCUCCAUUGGCUUCGCUUUGUGUUGCGUUUGCGCGGCAAUGCAACAUGUAAGGGCAGAGUCCACAAUAAACACCCUCCAAACUGUUCCAAAAUUACACCUUUAUUCUCCUCAUAUUUUUCUUCAUCGUUAAUAUAAAUAAUUCGUACGUUUUUUCUCGAACGAGACGUACAGCUUCCAAGCUACAUAAAUCGCUAAAAACAAUUCUGAAGUAAACGCAUUGUCCACACAGAUAAUAAAUCUAGAAAAUUUCCCAAUAUAAAAUAUAAAAUAAACGUAAACAGGAGGCACGCACAGGGGCUGAAUGGAAAAUACGGCGGGAUGAGGAGGGUAAGGUGGGAAUCGUGGAGGAAGUCGAGAGCACGUCGGCGGCGUAGGUGAGGGAGAGCGACUCGGAGCCCCGUGGAGUGCUCCCACGACCUAAAAGCUUUUAUUAGCAGCGCGCACGUUACGAUACUCGUGGUAAUCAGAGCGAGAUGUCAACAUUGCUCGAGCUCCUCCGUCCCUUUCUCCCUUAUUGGAUAUGUACCGGAAGAGAGUACGUUGUUGUCCACAAACCUAGAAAACAAGACCAAGAAAAAUAACAGGGAAAUCUAAAUCUAGGGAGAGAACUGUUGUUCCUUCGGAGACUACCUCUUAUGGCUAAUUGAUCGCGAAAUCAUACAUACAUAUGUAUGUAUAUACUUUGAUGAACGGCGAUCCUUUCGUUUAUUGUAGACUUCAUCUCCUUCUUGUGCAAGAUGGCACAGCAACUUGAAGUUUAGGUUAUUUCAGCUUCGGCGGCGUCGUACUUGAAACUCGAUCGAUGUCGCAGGUAAGGCAUCACAUUGCGGUGAUGGAUGAGACGACGAGUGGGGCUUUGCUUCUUAUUCUUGCAGAAAAGAUGUUUAUGAGAACGAUGGAUUCCGAAGGCUUACUUGGGGGCUGCUCACAAAAGGUCACUUUGCGAUGAGAGCUUCUCCUCCAUUUUGACUACUGUUUCACCUACUACAAUUCCCUUGCCGACAGUAGUGGAAUGUCCACUUCUUGCCCUGCCCAAAGAAGGGUGGCGAGGGCUUGUCGUUGGGCCUCUCAUGCUUCGAUAAGCCUCGCCAUGGUUGAUGUAUCAUCAUAAUUGGUGUGUUCGCUUGACAAAUCAUACACCCUACAUUCCUGACGUAUCAAAGUUGAUGCAACAUUCACAUGAUGAUUGAUUAAUGUGAUCAAACUCGAAAUAGGUACGAUGUAAUUAAUGUAUCUUCCACCUCCGGUUGGCUGGGAAGAUCAACUGACACCAGAGAAUGAGGCUGCACUGUGAUCUCAUUCUCGUCUCUGAGUCACCCCGUGACGCUUUCUGCUGCUCUCUCCCUGCUGUCAUUCCCUGCCAAAAUAUCUUCCUCCAACGCUCCCAAACUCGUUGUUUAUCUGCUGCUGCCAUGCGACGCCACCGCGCAGGCUACCUUCCAAAACACUACACGCCAUGCUCCCUUGGCUGAAUCCCAUCCCUCUCCUCUCACCCUGGAGGCGACCGUUGCAGGUCCCUGAAGAGCUCAGGAAGGUGUAGCUUUUGUUGCCAUCUUCUCCCUCUGUCUUCACGUCGAGAGCCGCUCUUCGUCGAGUCACAUGAUGCGCUACCGUAAUCCUUUCGAGGUCGUCCUCACGCGAGCAAGUAGACAAACUGCACUACGGGUUGUGUCCUUAUCAGUUUGUCCUCCCAUCUCAGCUCACUACCGUUGGGUCGACGACCGUUCCGAGAUCGUGUUCUUGUUCUUAUAGUCUGGAAUGGAAGCCGCAUCGAUCGCCAUUGUCAUUGCAACUGAAGCUAAAGUACUCUCUCUUCUGCUCUUUAGAAGUUGGUUCAUCCAUGGGAGCAUCUCCAAGCAUGUUCUUCCUGGUCAUCUGCCUGUUUGUCUCAGUGCACUCCAGUGCAUGCGAGCUCGGUUCCACCAAGCAGCACCGGCGGCACGAGUGGUACUUCAAGCCAACCGGCAAACAGACCAUCGUGGUGGACGCCAAUGGCUCCGGCCAUUUCUCGUCCGUCCAAGAGGCCGUUGACUUCGUCCCGGAGAACAACACCAAGCGUGUCGUCAUACAGAUUCAUGCUGGUCAUUACACGUGAGUAGUUCUUCGUCUCUCUACUCUCAGCAAGCCUUACAGAAGCUUCCUCUGUUUGUUUUCGGGUUUGCAGGGAGAAGGUGAUCGUGCCGGCGACGAAGCCAUAUGUGACGUUCCAAGGGGCCGGCAGGGACGUGACGGUGAUCGAGUGGCACGACCGGGCGAGCGAUCGAGGACCUGACGGGCAACAGCUACGGACUUAUAACACGGCUUCUGUCACUAUUUUUGCUAGUUAUUUCAGGGCUAGGAAUAUUAGCUUCAAGGUGAGUGCUUCUUUUAGAGACCUAACGAUCUCAGUCCCUUUCAUCCGCAUCGCAUCGCCGGAGACCGAUGGCCGGAGGUUGAUUCCUGGAGCACAUACGUUCUUAGGUUCAGCUCAGCUCUGUUUCGGCUUUAACCAGCUAUCCAAAGAGCAAUGAAAUGAGUCAAACCCCUUGCCUAUUGAUUUCUCACUUUUGCCCUCCUUGACUAUGGUGAUCAGCUCAGCUCAUCAACUCGACGGCAGAGCAUGACAGAUCACUUGGCCUUUGCUGCAAAAAGCUAAUUGGUUGGAUGUUUGGAGUUGAUUCGCUGAGAUGACUAACGUGAAUGCAUGUCCAUCGUGUGUUGUGAAUGGCAGAACACAGCUCCGGCUCCAAUGCCGGGCAUGGAAGGAUGGCAAGCAGCAGCGUUCCGCAUCUCGGGAGACAAGGCGUACUUCUUCGGCUGCGGCUUCUACGGCGCCCAGGACACACUCUGCGACGACGCCGGCCGCCACUACUUCAAGGAUUGCUACAUUGAGGGAUCCAUCGAUUUCAUCUUCGGCAAUGGUCGUUCCAUGUACAAGGUAAGCAACCCCUCCCGUGAUCCAUCUUUGCUGCUCGCUAGCUGGUUCUGAGAAGGAACACGACUGCAGGAUUGCCAACUCCACUCCAUCGCAGACCGGUUCGGGGCCAUCGCAGCUCAGGACAGGAACAGCCCGUGCGAGCGGACGGGCUUCGCCUUCGUGAACUGCAGAGUAACCGGCACGGGCAAGCUCUACGUAGGACGAGCCAUGGGGCAGUACUCGAGGAUCGUCUUCGCCUACACCUACUUCGAUGACGUGAUCGCCCCCGGAGGCUGGGACGACUGGGAUCACAACAGCGACAAGAACCAGUAAUUAACCCUCUGUCAUCGAGCACAAGAACAACCACCAAUCCGCUGGAAACUAAGACUCUCGUUUCUCUCUGUUCUUGCAGGACGGCGUUCUUUGGAGUCUACAGAUGUUGGGGUCCUGGUGCAGCAGCAGUGCGUGGGGUUUCAUGGGCUCGAGAGCUCGAUUUCGACACGGCUCGACCUUUCCUCGUCAAGAGUUUCGUGAAUGGAAGACACUGGCUUGGCCCUUCCGAUCCUUGAGCUCUUGACCCCUACACUUGCAGUAGCAGCUCUUACAACCAUUUGUUAUUCCUACACUUCCAAUUUGUAUUCGAACCAUGCAAUAAGAUGUCAAACCUCGCUCUCUCUGUUCUCGUUCAAGAAGACAGAGCUCCAUGGCAAUGAAGGAAACAGAACUACUUUUAUCUGAAUCACAAGCAAAUCGUUCUAAGCCUCAGCACAAAAAGAAAUUAUGCUACAGUUUGCAGUCAUGGCAAACUGAAAACAGCAGUUUUGUGUGCAUAAAACCUGUGUUGACUCACCAAGAAAAGGAAAAUUGAUGCUUGCAUUUGAACUGAGCCUCUUCCCCAACCAGACAAAGGUGUUCCGAGUGAGUCACAGAAUCCCAAACUGUGCAUGUCCUUCCAUGGCUGCAUAUGGCACCAACACCAGAGCGCUACUUGUUCUCACGUGAAACUGGGAAUUUGCAUGGGUCCAAUGCUUAGAGUUCCUCCUUAUUUGAACUCCUCUGUAUCACCUAUUUGAAACCUGGCCAUCUUUCCCUCCCACCCCAUUUGUCUUGAACAUGGCUCCUCCACUCCAUCAGUCUCCCUCCCUUGUCAUGGCCUCGUUAACUUUCCUCGCCCUCCUCAACGCUUGCUUCUGUUCCAAUCCGAAACACCCCAAGCUUUCCACCUCAACAUCAAACUGGCUUCCUGCAGGAGCUACGUGGUAUGGGAGCGCUAAUGGUGCUGGAAGCGAUGGUAAGGUUCUUCUCCAUAUAAUGUUAUCCUUCGUCUACUGUUGCAGAGAGCCAUGUGUGUGAUUCCAGGAGGUGCUUGUGGCUAUGGAGGCGCGUUGGAGAAGCCUCCUUUCUCAUCCAUGAUAUCCGCGGGAGGCCCCUCGCUGUUCAAAUCGGGCAAGGGAUGUGGCGCUUGUUAUCAGGUACCAACGAAGACCUCGAAUUCUGCAAGCCCUUUUGCUUCUUGGAAGUGCCCAAGUGUCGUCCAACCCCGUGGCAGGUGAAAUGCACCGAGAACGCAGCGUGUUCCGGCGAUCCAGUUACCGUGGUGAUCACGGACGAGUGCCCCGGCGGUCCAUGUCUCGAGAAGUCUGCCCAUUUCGACAUGAGCGGGACUGCGUUCGGGGCCAUGGCGUCCUCUGGUCGAGCUGACGAGAUUCGAAAUGCUGGUGUGAUGACAGUGCAGUACGCAAGGUGCAAAUUCUCCACUCCACCAUCUGCAAUCUUCUUCCACGCAUGCUAUUGUACCACCGGCUUACCACUUUCCUCCGAACAGAGUCCAGUGCAGCUACCCAGGCUUCGACUUGGCCUUCCGUGUCGAUGCUGGCUCAAACCCUUACUACUUCGCCGUCGUCAUAGAGUACGAGGAAGGUGAUGGAGAUCUCGCUGCUGUGGAACUCAUGCAGGCAUCAUCAUCAGCGGAUUCAUCGCAAUGGCUUUCCAUGCAGCAGUCAUGGGGUGCAGUGUGGAAAUUGAACUCAGCUUGGCAGCUGCAGGCCCCCUUUUCCAUCCGAUUGACGACGCUUUUAUCCAACCGGACGAUUGUGGCAGACGAUGUGAUCCCAUCAACUUGGCUGCCAGGGGAAACAUAUCGAUCUACCACACACUGACACCAGUAUCUAUCUUCAUUGGGAGUACCAUAUGUAACUGCUGGUAACUAAUCAUGGCUUAAUUCAUGACAAUAAAGACAAAUUUUAGCCAAUCCUUCCAUUGUUCUGCUCAACUCCAUUUCUUCCAAUUACUCCAAUAAUAAUUCUAGCUCGAACUUGUCAAACACGUUAUCCUCUCAAGCCUUGUGGACUUGUUUUGCCUGUUGAACGAGGCAAGUCAACUCUUCCAGAGGAGGUGGUGGUGAAACAUGGAAUGGAUGCUCUAAAGAAGCAAACCGAAUCCACUACAAAUAAUACCUAUGAUAGAACACAACACAUUUCCUACAUUUUCAUCACUGCAACUACUGUCUUCCUCACUUGGAAUUUCUUCCUGCAUCAACCAACUAUUAUUAAUCUAAACCCAAAGGGUGGGUAGCCAGUGAGGAUCACACCACAUGUCAGAGAAGUAAAAAUAGAGAGAGAGAGGGGGGGGGGAGGUGUGGGGGCGAAAGAAGGGAGGGCGUCAUGAUGGAAGUGUGGGGGACACUGAAGUGAGGAUUCUGUCAGUCAAGAGCAAGUUGGUAUCCUGUUCACAGAAUACCAAUUCUCAAAGCUUCAGAACAAAAGGAGCAAACCCAGAAACCUUCCUUUGUCUCGUUUAUGCAUUGCAUCUGCUCCAUGACUUGGUCAAUCCAAAUUCUGAAUCAUCAAUGGCAACGCUCAUUUUGUGUGAACCAGAUGAUGUAGCCACCAACAUUCUUUCUUAAUAGUGAUGACAGAAAAUGAAACAAUUCAAGUUCCUUUCACUUAAUUUCCAACACCCUCUUGAAAGUUCUAGCCUUGAAGGUAGAACAGUAUCAUAGUGGCAGCUGUGGCUUUUGGAUAUGCAGCAAUUACAGUCCAAUGAGGAGCUCUACCUCGAUUUACAGUAUCAUAGCUUCCACUGACAAAUGACUACAAACUAAAUAUGUAAAUUUCUGCAGAGGCUCCCUGAUUUUUACACUUGCAGUCAAAUAGUGAUUGUAAUAAAAUUUCUUCCACAUCUUUUGAAAGGUAUAGCUUUUCUGCUUUGCCCUCCAAAAUGAGGAAUCCCAUGUCAUUUAUAUGCAGCCUUCUAGUCCCUUUCAUUCCCAGUUAUCUAGAAAUAUAAUUCAGAUACAAUUGAUCUGCAACAGCUUGCUUGAGGUUGAUAUUAUACUGAUCUCAUCCUCACUUUUUAUCCUGAGAAUUGUAGACUUCUUCAUUGUUCUUUCAGCAGAAUGCUGAGAAACAAAGUUGGGAAACUGGCCUACACUUUACAGAGAUUGAGAUACAGAAAGCUCCUCCAGUGUAUUUCUCUACUAGCUUGUUUGCUCAGAUGGCAAACCAGUAGCUAACAUCAGUGCUACAUGAGAAGAGGAAUCAAAACUACAUGUCCAAAAAAUAAUGUUUGUGUUGGAUACCUUAAGUCUUUGCCCUAAGUAAUCAUGGAAAUCCACUUGGGCACAAGGAUGCAAGUCACAAGGUAUUGCAGGACCAACUUAAACAGCAUGAAUUGAUAUACCAAAUGGUAAGAUUCCAUUUGUGGAAGUCCCACCAUUCCAUUUGGUCAAAUUGUUUUCCUAAUAGAUGCCAUCAUAGUACCCUUGUCAAGGUAUUCCACAUAUUAUAUCUAGAAAACUUGGGAUACUAUUACAAGAUAGAUGCCACUGAUGCCUGCCAUAGUUUAUUCACAGUUCAACAAGGAGGAUUCUUCCCUGCUUUCAUGAUCUUUGAAGAGUAAACUCUAAAACUUUUAAGAUCAAUUAUUCUGGUACCAUUCUGCUCUCAACCUACUCCUAUUAUUACCACUACUACUACCACCACUUCAAAGAAAGUAGGGUACACAAGAACUGUCUAAAGACAUCACAUAAUUGCAACUGGGUUGGGGCAGUUGCAUGACAGUUGGUGCUACCCAGCAGACUUCAAUCAUCAUUAUCUGUCAGCUAAAAGCUAAGUAACACCAUAGGGAGCUCUCACCUUGUUGACAAAGGUACUAUUUCUGAAUGAAGAAUUGGUCUGACUCUAUGCAUUACUUGCAUUCAUUCUCUCAUCUGCUAGCUUGACCUCCAUAAGCAUCACAACCCAGCUCUCCUUCCACAAGGCUCAUAGCAUGACAUGAUUCCUUGUGCCAGUAGAAGGAGAAAAGAGAAGAUGAGAUGAAUGACAGUAACUAGUAACAGUAAGCGCAUGCAGGUGAAAGCUGUGCCGGUGUGGGAAGCUCACAACCACACACCCAAUGCUCUCUCAUCAGUCUCUUUUGCCCAACCCGACAAGAACCAACUCAUGAGAGCACAAGUGCUACCGAUCUCGUGAUAUAUGUUAUCAUUCCUUGUUCGCUGCUUUAUUCCUUCCCCACUCUUGCGACGUUAACGUACGCAUCACCCCGUAGUAGCUUUUCUCUAUGCCCCUUCUUUAAUCACCCCAUUAACUGCCAUCGAAGCAUCGAGCUCUACAAAGCUCAGAUCCUUAGUGGUGGCCUGGUAGCUGAGAGGAGGCAAGACUUGGUUUGAUGCUUGUAUGGGAAGAAAUGAAAGGCCUACCUACCAUGCAAUGACUGCCGGAAGGUGUUUGCUUCAUUGCCAGUAGAAAUGGCAUGGGAUGGGAGUAGUGGUGGAGAUCUGGAAACAGUGUGGCCUGCAACAAAGCGAUGGGAGUCAAAGGGGAAGUGCAUAAAGGCUUUUGCUGAAAGGGUGGGUGAGGGAAGGGAAGGGAAGACAUGGGAAUCCGCUUUGCAUUCCGUCACGGGAUACUGGCCACCCUCACGCAUAUCUUUCCGCCGCUAAUGCUGCUGCUGUUUGCCGGAUAAAUCGAAGACCUAAUAAAUAGUGACCUCCCAUGCCCUACAGGUUGACACUGGCACAAUUGAACCGACCGGUUUGGUCUGAUUCGCGUUAGAUUUUCCCUGUUCGGGAACCAAAUAAACAUAUUCGGUCGAAUAUUUUCCGGUUCAAAUCGUAUUUGGUUCUUUUGGAGAACCGAAUCGAAGUGAACCGAGCCGACCCAUAGGAUCUAGUGGUCAAAGCGUGAGUGCGCUUCCUCAGCAACCGCAGCUGCCGGCGAUCUCUCACCACAGGGUGUGGCGCGUUGUACGCACCGGAGUACACGAUAAGGAAAGGCCUCAGACCGUCCAUCACGUCGGUCCCACGUACAUCGGACGUACCUCCGUGAAGACCGCGUGAUGGGCCCACCAGCCCACACCAGUCCCGACGCCACGGCUUUGCCAUCACGUAAUUAGCAGCAGACGGGUCGAUGAUUCCUAAGCGAUGCCAAUUAAUAGCACCGACGAGCUAAUGACUUGGUCUUAAUUGUCCCAGUGGAACACCAGUAACGGCAGGGUUGAGAGAGAGAGAGAGAGAGAGCCGGGUGAAGGAAACGUGGAGACCGGCGCGUGGAAAUGCUGAGGCGCUACGCUCCAAAAGCCGAGAGCUUGCCGAAGAAAAAGCUGAACCAGUAGAGGUGAAGGGAAAAGGAUGAAGACAAGAAUAAGUACCAGUCCAAACAGAGAAUUUUCCAGGUGGGAAGCAGCGGCAGAAGUUCUGCUUCUCCAGACUCCCCCUCUUUGGAGAUGAAAUGAGAUGUUACACACUUAGCUAAUCCACAUACACAAAAAAAGAAUAAACAUGUUUAUGAUCAAAGAGAUGGUGAAGAGAAAAACUGCAGUAAUUGGCAAUAGCAAUCAGCUGUUGCUACAGUAAGCAAAACUGCAACUUGAACACAAAAAAGAAUGGUAGAACUAAUGUCAGCUUAAGCAAAGAAGAACAGAAGCAUACGAAUAAGAUCACCAAAUCGCCAGCUUUCUCCAAUAUGUAACAGCGCUGAGAAAAGAUUUACUUCAAAUCUUUUUUGGUUUCUUAUGUUGUGUUUCUUUGUCUCUGCAAGUCUUACCUCGAGUUAGAAGGAGCGCUCGGAUUGCAUGGCCUCGGCGUGUGGAGUGUGUGGAUUCAGUUGGGACGUGGGUUGGCAACGAAAUCCAUAUCGGAAACGGCCGACAGCUCCACGUCGUCCAUCGACGGCGCCGGAAAGUUGAGAUCGAUCAUGCCGAUGCUGCCGCCGAACUUGGUGGCGGCGGAGGCGAGGGGGGAGGUGCUCUGCGGCGAGCAUGACGGGGGAGGGCGUGACACCGGCGAGUUCUCGGUGAGCAUAGUGGCGGACGACGUGAAGUGCGACCGCUUGUGGCCGCCGAGAGCUUGGCCGGAGCUGAAGACUCGGAAGCAGAAGGGGCACUCGUGGACUUUGGCAUCGGCAUUGGCGUCGGCGGAGUCGGCUUCGCCGUAGAUCCGGGGCUCCACGGCCGGGACGCAGCCGUUGGUCUUCUUGUGGCUCGCCCGGUGGCCACCGAGGGCUUGGUACGACCGGAACACCUUCUUGCACGCGCCGCACUGGUACCGGCUCCGCCCCUUCUUCGGCGGUUGCCGGGUGCGAGCGGCGGCCCGCCGAUCCUCCUCUUCCUGCUCGUCGAAGCCGUCCGACAGUCGGGCCUCCUCCUCCGCCGCAGCAGUAGCCCAGGAGUCGCGGGACAGCAUCAUGAGGCAGAGCGCGACAUCCUCCUCGGGAGUCGCGUCCGAGACAGAGCUAGCCGGCUCCGCCUCCGGCUGCUCCGUCGGCGACGCGGUGUCCCGGCGGGAUCGCUUAGAUCGGCGUCGGUUCUCCUUGGGGGACUCCGUCUCGCUCUCCCGGUCCUGGACGACGUCGCUAGAUCCGGCCAGCUCAACGGCAGCGACGGAAGAGGAGAACUGGGGAUCCACCAGCCGGAAACUCUUCCGGGGGUUCAUGCGCAGGCCAUAAGAGCCUCCCACCUCCUCCUCCGCUUCCUCACCUACUUCCUGCUCCGCCGCAGGUCGGUCGGAGGAUAUGGACGCGGAUGAGUUUCCGGGGUGCUGCGCCUGUGGGACCGGAGGGGCCGCAGAUAUGACGUGAGAGCGCAUGUGCCCCCCGAGAGCCCGUCCAUUGGGGAAGCGGCGGAAGCAAAGGUUGCAGGUGUGCCUGUCCAUGGAAGCGAUUCCUUCAGCUCGACCCUCUCGCUCUUCUUAAGAGAGCAGAGAGAGAGAGAGAGAGAAAGAGAAGGGGGGGGAGGGGAAG
RNAcentral lists this long non-coding RNA (29655 nucleotides) under Musa acuminata (dwarf banana). Its description in RNAcentral is "long non-coding RNA (MACU_LNC002195)". Lineage: Eukaryota; Viridiplantae; Streptophyta; Magnoliopsida; Zingiberales; Musaceae. The record is from RNAcentral.